Molecule: ribosomal RNA, 482 nt
Filed under: uncultured Flavobacteriaceae bacterium
Lineage: Bacteria; Pseudomonadati; Bacteroidota; Flavobacteriia; Flavobacteriales; Flavobacteriaceae
Description: bacterial SSU rRNA
Rfam family: Bacterial small subunit ribosomal RNA
Source: RNAcentral
GAUGAACGCUAGCGGCAGGCCUAACACAUGCAAGUCGAGGGGUAACAUAGGUGCUUGCACCGGAUGACGACCGGCGCACGGGUGCGGAACGCGUAUGGAACCUGCCCCUGUCAGGGGAAUAGCCCAGAGAAAUUUGGAUUAAUGCCCCAUGGUAUCCGGACAGCACAUGCUGACCGGAUUAAAGAUUUAUCGGACAGGGAUGGCCAUGCGUACCAUUAGUCGGAUGGUGAGGUAACGGCUCACCAUAACUACGAUGGUUAGGGGCCCUGAGAGGGGGAUCCCCCACACUGGUACUGAGACACGGACCAGACUCCUACGGGAGGCAGCAGUGAGGAAUAUUGGACAAUGGGCGGGAGCCUGAUCCAGCCAUGCCGCGUGCAGGAUGACUGCCCUAUGGGUUGUAAACUGCUUUUAUACGGGAAGAAACGCGCCUACGGGUAGGCGUUUGACGGUACCGUAAGAAUAAGGACCGGCUAACUCCG